GUGCGAAAGCAGGUCAUAGUGAUCCGGUGGUUCUGAAUGGAAGGGCCAUCGCUCAACGGAUAAAAGGUACUCCGGGGAUAACAGGCUGAUACCGCCCAAGAGUUCAUAUCGACGGCGGUGUUUGGCACCUCGAUGUCGGCUCAUCACAUCCUGGGGCUGAAGUAGGUCCCAAGGGUAUGGCUGUUCGCCAUUUAAAGUGGUACGCGAGCUGGGUUUAGAACGUCGUGAGACAGUUCGGUCCCUAUCUGCCGUGGGCGCUGGAGAACUGAGGGGGGCUGCUCCUAGUACGAGAGGACCGGAGUGGACGCAUCACUGGUGUUCGGGUUGUCAUGCCAAUGGCACU
Molecule: ribosomal RNA, 343 nt
Filed under: Salmonella enterica subsp. enterica serovar Anatum
Lineage: Bacteria; Pseudomonadati; Pseudomonadota; Gammaproteobacteria; Enterobacterales; Enterobacteriaceae
Description: partial 23S ribosomal RNA
Rfam family: Bacterial large subunit ribosomal RNA
Source: RNAcentral